AACACGAAAGAGUUUUGGUGGGGGUGGUUGGCGUACCCCUUACAUGCACAUGAAGGCACAACGGGCGGUCCAGAGUCCGAGCAAUGAAUGCUUUGGGUUAGAAAGGACAUUGAAAGUAGAAAUAGAGGAAGAUGGAGAGAUAGAGA
Non-coding RNA from Caenorhabditis elegans, 146 nucleotides. The record is from Ensembl. Lineage: Eukaryota; Metazoa; Nematoda; Chromadorea; Rhabditida; Rhabditidae.